Molecule: ribosomal RNA, 439 nt
Filed under: uncultured bacterium
Lineage: Bacteria
Description: partial 16S ribosomal RNA
Rfam family: Bacterial small subunit ribosomal RNA
Source: RNAcentral
CUACGGGGGGCAGCAGUGGGGGAUAUUGCACAAUGGGCGAAAGCCUGAUGCAGCAACGCCGCGUGAAGGAAGACGGAUUUCGGUCUGUAAACUUCUAUCAGCUGGGAAGAAAAUGACGGUACCAGACUAAGAAGCCCCGGCUAACUACGUGCCAGCAGCCGCGGUAAUACGUAGGGGGCAAGCGUUAUCCGGAUUUACUGGGUGUAAAGGGUACGUAGGCGGUCGCUUAAGUCAGAUGUGAAAGCCCGAAGCUCAACUUCGGGACUGCAUUUGAAACUGGGUGACUAGAGUACAGGAGAGGAAAGCGGAAUUCCUAGUGUAGCGGUGAAAUGCGUAGAUAUUAGGAAGAACACCAGUGGCGAAGGCGGCUUUCUGGACUGUAACUGACGCCGAGGUACGAAAGCGUGGGGAGCGAACAGGAUUAGAUACCCGUGUAGUC